GUUUGAUUAGCUCAAUUGGUAGAGUAGGUCGGUGUAUCGUCGAUCUUUCAUAGGUUCAAAUCCUAUAUCAAACC
Molecule: transfer RNA, 74 nt
Filed under: Chondrocystis sp. NIES-4102
Lineage: Bacteria; Bacillati; Cyanobacteriota; Cyanophyceae; Chroococcales; Chroococcaceae
Rfam family: tRNA
About the family: Transfer RNA (tRNA) molecules are approximately 80 nucleotides in length. Their secondary structure includes four short double-helical elements and three loops (D, anti-codon, and T loops).
Source: Rfam by way of RNAcentral